UUGAAAGGGAAACGAUUGAAGUCAGUCGGCCCGCGCUUUUCACCCUUUCGAGUGGUGAUUUGGAGUUUUGAAGUAUUCAAACCUUUGAUAUUUUAAAAUUUUCGCUCUUUUGGUGUACUUUCUCGGGGGUCGUCGAACAUCGUUUUUGAUCAUCAUAAAAAGACUGGAGGAAUGUAGCUUCGCUCUUGUAUUGUCGUGUUGUCGCUUUUGGAAAAUGUGAUGAUUAGGAUCGAGGAUUGCAACGAAUACCCUUCUGGACCAUCCGUUUGAUCACUGAUACGGGGCCGUGACUUCGAAAGCUUGCUUAUGGUAUCAAGGUAUUACGGUUUCAAGGUUAGAACAGAUUACAUUCGUUAAGGAUGUUGACGUA
RNAcentral lists this ribosomal RNA (370 nucleotides) under uncultured Glomeromycotina. RNAcentral describes it as "LSU rRNA". The record is from RNAcentral. Lineage: Eukaryota; Fungi; Glomeromycota.